Molecule: ribosomal RNA, 470 nt
Filed under: uncultured bacterium
Lineage: Bacteria
Description: partial 16S ribosomal RNA
Rfam family: Bacterial small subunit ribosomal RNA
Source: RNAcentral
GACGAACGCUGGCGGCGUGCUUAACACAUGCAAGUCGAACGAUGAAGCCUAGCUUGCUAGGUGGAUUAGUGGCGAACGGGUGAGUAAUACGUGAGUAACCUACCUUUAACUCUGGGAUAAGCCCGGGAAACUGGGUCUAAUACCGGAUACGACCAAUCUCCGCAUGGGGUGUUGGUGGAAAGCGUUAUGUAGUGGUUAUAGAUGGGCUCACGGCCUAUCAGCUUGUUGGUGAGGUAACGGCUCACCAAGGCGACGACGGGUAGCCGGCCUGAGAGGGUGACGGCCCCCCCGGGGACGGGGACACGGCCCAGCCCCCCCGGGGGGGGGGCGGGGGGGAAUUUGCCACAGGGGGGGAAACCCUGUUGCGGCGACCCCGGGGGGGGGUGGAGGCCCUUCGGGUGGUAAACCUCUGUUAGCGGGGAAGAAGGGAGAUUGGCGGUACCUGCAGAAAAAGCCCCGGCUAACUACGG